GACGAACGCUGGCGGCGUGCUUAACACAUGCAAGUCGAACGGAAAGGCCCUGCGUUUGUGGUGUGCUCGAGUGGCGAACGUGUCAGUAACACGUCAGUAACCUGCCCCUGGCUUUGGUACAACUUCAGGAAACUAAGGCUAAUUCCGCAUAGCAGCCCCCGCUGCAGGGGGUGGGAUGGAUAGUUUCGGCGGGUGGGGAUGGACUCGCGGCUUAUCAGCUUGUUGGUGGGGUAGUGGCUUACCAAGGCUUUGACGGGUAGCCGGCCUGAGAGGGUGACCGGCCACACUGGGACUGAGAUACGGCCCAGACUCCUACGGGAGGCAGCAGUGGGGAAUAUUGCACAAUGGGCGGAAGCCUGAUGCAGCGACGCCGCGUGCGGGAUGACGGCCUUCGGGUUGUAAACCGCUUUCGCCUGUGACGAAGCGUGAGUGACGGUACUGGGUGAAGAAGCACCGGCUAACUACGUG
RNAcentral lists this ribosomal RNA (468 nucleotides) under uncultured bacterium. Its description in RNAcentral is "partial 16S ribosomal RNA". It matches the Rfam family "Bacterial small subunit ribosomal RNA", at positions 28 to 507 of the family's 1533-position model. The record is from RNAcentral.